RNAcentral lists this transfer RNA (75 nucleotides) under Candidatus Woesearchaeota archaeon. RNAcentral describes it as "tRNA-Ile". It matches the Rfam family "tRNA". From Rfam's summary of the family: Transfer RNA (tRNA) molecules are approximately 80 nucleotides in length. The record is from RNAcentral. Lineage: Archaea; Nanobdellati; Candidatus Woesearchaeota.
GGGCCCGUAGCUCAGCCUGGUUAGAGCGCUGGUCUUAUAAGCCAGCGGUCUGGGGUUCAAAUCCCCGCGGGCCCA